RNAcentral lists this small nuclear RNA (23 nucleotides) under Arabidopsis thaliana (thale cress). Its description in RNAcentral is "snRNA_10963". The record is from RNAcentral. Lineage: Eukaryota; Viridiplantae; Streptophyta; Magnoliopsida; Brassicales; Brassicaceae.
GCUCGAGCUGCUUCCGCGGCGAG